AACCAUCACCAUCUCUUCUUCUCCUCAUUGUCAAUCUUUGGUCUUAGCCCAAAGGAGUAACGGGCGCUUAUCGCCAUGAGGGCCACCGCCUACCAACCUCUCAUCACCGCUCCGGCCAACUUGAGGCACGGGAGGAGGCCGGCGUCCUCUCGAUGGCUCCCCUCGGUAUCCCCCAGGAGGAGGGCCGCGGUCGUCAGAGCGGCCGUCGCCGUGGAGGAGGAGGCUAAGACCAAGGUCUCCCUCGUCAGGAUUGGCACCAGAGGGAGGUAGGCUUCGUUGCUUGGUUUCUAUUUCAACAGAUCUUAAUUCGUAUAAAUUUUGUGUUUUUGUUUGAUACAAGUGCUUGGCUGAGCUAAAUAUGGGGAAUUUCCAGAUAAACGUUGGAUUUUUAGCUUCUUUUAUAUGGAUUUUUGCUUCUGUUGGACUCCAGUGAGGUUUUCCAUGUCAUAAAUUGGAUUUUUUUCCCUUCUGGUUUACUUGGAUCUUGGGUUUUUGUUGUCUAGUGAGGUUUUCUUUUUAAUGGGUUGGAUUUUACCUUUUUUGUAGUCUAGUGAGGUGGCUGGUGUUACAGAUUUAAUGGGUUGUCAUCAUCAUUAUUUUCAUUUAGUUUUAUUUUUACUGUUAAGUAUUUUCUUGAAGGUUCCUUUAGUUGGGAUUUUUCUUUUAAAAAUACCUUUUUGAGGCUUGCACUCGGUUUGGCAUCUUUUUGUGCGUCAAGGUUGGCAGUCUUAGUAGAGUUUUAGUUUCAUAUUUGUUCAUUUCUGUAGGCAUCUUUUAUGUUUGAGUGACAAAAUGGGGCUGUGGAGUUGUCUUGAGCUUUAGUUCUAGAAGUUGUGAGGCUUUAGAUCUAAGUCUAAUUUGAAUUACUUAAGAAAUCAGUGGGGUAUUUUAGGGCUUUAAAGAGUGAGAAAUUGUUGGACUUUAGAGAGUAGUUAGGAUGGAUGAAGUGUUAAAGUUUUAAUUAAUAAUCAUCUCUUGCAUGGUAUUAUUACUUGGACCUUGGAGAAUUUGGCAUGGCUUUGUGGAAUUGGGGACUCAUCUUCCUAGACUUCUUAUUGUACUUAUGAGAGGAGGGUAACUUAUAAGAGAUGUUAUGAGGUGGUAAAAAACAGAAUGACCUGUUUCCCAACUCUCAAGAAAAAAAAUGAGGGGAUCUAGAGUUUGAGGAAAUGCUAUGUUUCAUAACAACAAAUUUUUCUUGAGAUAGAGGAUGAAAGAGAUGGCAGCUGAAAGAGGACUUUUAAAUUAAAACCCUCUGUACCAACAGGAUUUAUAGGACUCUUUAUGGUGUACAGAAUUUAUAUUAAAGCUAAAAACCUUUUGGUGAACUUUAUUGUUAUAAAAGAUUUAGAAUUAGAUAAAGGAUAAAAACUAUGUAAUGUGUGAUAGAGAAGAUAAGACUAUCAGUAUCCAAUCUUUAAUCUAAAAGGAACUUCUGAAUGUGGCAGUAAAAUGGAGGACUUUUUUAGCAAUUCUUGCAUAAGAGCUCCAACACCUGUUUGUAGAUUUGAGUAGAUCAAUCUGAACUAAGACUAGAAGUGGUGGGCUUUGUAUGGAAGUUCUUUUUGGUGCUUGAUUUGGGUGAAGGAAUGUGCUAGCAACUACGAAAAAGAAUAUUGAUGGUUUUAAUGAUUGCAUCUAGGGAAGAUCUGGUGUAGUAGAUGUUUUCUUAUGUCAUUGUGUAUAAAUCAGGUUAUGGAUUCUGUUUCUUUUUCAUGCAUUUGGUGUAGUAGAUGUUCUCUUAUGUCCCUGGUAGGCUAUCUUCUUAGACUGUUUGUAUCAUUUAUUGGACCUUGCUGCAUGUUAUCGUUGAUAUAGUGUUGAUUUUUGAUUUGUUGAUGAAGUUCUGGUUAUCUCAGGACAGAUAAGUCACCUUCAUUGUACCGAUGAAAGAAGAUGGGAUCUGUCUUCAUUCAGUGUCAGUUUUAUCAGGUUUUAUGUAUCAUGUAACGUUCCUUUUCUUGUGUUCUCUCUGUUUGUACGAGAAGACUUUAUAUCAAUACAGUUCAGUCUUGAGGCUUUGAUCUUAAUAAAUACUGCAGUAGAUUUAACACUGUUUUUAAAUUACAUCUUAUCAAAUUCUAUGCUGUCUUGGUUGCUUGUUAUUCCUCAGGUUAGAUUCUCAAGUAUCCAUUGCUUCUCGUGCGCUUAAAAAGGAAGGAUAUUGCACUUUAGUUGUAGUUAUUUUCUAGACAUCAGUCACCUUAGACAUGUGUGUGAUAAUUUCUCUCUAUAGAUGAUAUGGUUUUCAGCCUGUUUGUUUUGCCUUUGGUUGGAUCUUUGUCUGUACCAUGCAAUUUGAUAUCUAAAGAUUUUUGAUUUGCAAACAAAACUAAUAACAGGAAAUACCUCCAGCCCCAUUCCAAUCACGCCUUCUUUCUUAUGUCUUUUAUUUUUAUGCCUUUUUUUAUAAAUUUUACUGUUUGUGUUGAAAUCCUUAGAAAUAAAAUCUGGAUGUUUCAGCCAAAUCUUAUUAUAACUACUAGGUCAUGUAGAAAUAGCCUUAAUUGACGCACAGUUGGUUCAGUGACUCAAUAAUGUACAUGGCCUAAGAUUCUUGCACAAAGAGUUGUCACUUAGGGUAAAAUGUGGACACUGAAAUUAGUUUAUCCUGUUCGAUCACUUUCAAACUGAAAAGUGAGAAAGUUUUGGCUAGUCAAAUAGGCAAUUAAUUUCCGUCUGUUCAAUAAUUUAAAUCUGUUGCUGGAUGGUUUAUGGAUAUUUUAAAUUACCUCUACCUUUUACUAUAAGUCAUAUUAACUUUGCAUUAUGUGAUUUUAAGUUCAUGGAUCAGUAGCUGAAUUCCCUUUCUUCAGAUAUAUUUCAAACAAUUCAGUUGUUCAUCUGGCAAUUCAUUAUGUGUACAAUGUUGCAUGUGAAUCAAUAUCAAGUGUGCUUGAAAACUAUGCUUUUUAUUUAUACUUUUUGGAUGAUAUUCCUUCUGAUGGAUAUGUAGGACAGUCCACUAGCACUUGCGCAAGCAUAUGAGACACGGGACAAACUCAUGGCAGCUCAUUCUGAGCUAGCUGAUGAUGGAGCUAUCAAGAUAAUAAUUAUUAAGACUACAGGUGACAAAAUACUCAGUCAACCACUAGCAGAUAUAGGUGGCAAAGGUCUUUUCACGAAAGAGAUAGAUGAGGCCCUCUUGGAGGGCAAAAUUGACAUUGCAGUUCACUCGAUGAAGGAUGUUCCUACAUAUUUUCCCGAUGGAAUGAUCUUACCAUGCAACCUUCCCAGAGAAGAUGUAAGGGAUGCAUUUAUUUGUUUGACUGCAAAUUCUCUUUCAGAGCUUCCAGCUGGAAGCAUUGUUGGAAGUGCUUCCCUUAGGAGACAGUCUCAAAUACUCUAUAGAUAUCCAUCACUCAAAGUAAGUUCUUAAAUGAUGUCAUGAGUUUUACUUUUCAUUUUCUAGGAAUAACCUGAUAUGGAAAUAGUGACUUCAUUCUAUCUAGCCAUAUAGCACAGGCUUAACUGCUUAAUGGGUGAUUUGCUCCAUGCAAUUUCCCCAACCUUCCUAUUGUGUGAAUUUUUUUCCUCUACUGGUUUAUUAAAUGGACCCAACUUGGCUAUUUGAGAAGUUAAAUUUAAUUUCCCUCUUCUCUUUAGUUUGCCACUUUAAGGAUUUAUUAAGAUGCUGAGUUCCCUUGGAUAGUUUCAUUCAGCGCUUUGAUGCUCAUGGUUAUGAUCUUGACAGUAACAUUGCUCUCCCUCCAGUUAUCAUUGAAUAUAGAAUCCCAAAGUUGUAUGUGACUGAAAUACUGUUUUGAGAGCUAACUUGUUCUUCUUUGUGGAGUUUAAAUAUGUAAUUAAUUAAAUUUAGCACAUUCGCAAGAAGCUUCCAUGCGAAGCAAAACUCUUGUUAUUCAAUAUAUGAUGAUUGAUAUUUUUUAACUCUUGGUUCAAGGUGGUGAAUGAAUUGCACUUGUACAUGUCUAAACAAGUUCAAAACCAUCUUGAAAGUCUUGAAAGCUAUUAUUACUUGACAAUUUUUGUCAUAUGAAAUGUGAAAUUCAAAUUCAUGGAAUAUCCUUAGGUCCCUAGUGAUAGUUUGCUACCUCUUUUCUUUUCUCUUCUUUCUUCUGUCUUUGUCUUCUGUUCUCGUGAAAUCUGAAAGCUAUUGGAUCAACCAAGGGCAUAUAAGAUGAGCAUUGAACACAAAGAAUGAUGAGGUAAUCAAGGAGUUACAAAGGAAUGCUGGGAGAUGGCAUUGGUUGCACCAGAUAACGAUUAACACAACUGCAUAAGUUAUUAAGGGCAUGUGAAAGAAGAUGGUGUUGAAAUGUGUAGGAAAGAGACCUUAGAAGGAUCAAAGAAGAUUUGCUAAACAAUAUGGGAAGCCACCGUAAAGGAUUCAAACAGUCUGGAUUGAUUGAGAAUGUAGGAUAGGAUGGGAAAGAAUUGCAAAGAGGGAUUGACAUAGUGAACCCUGACCAAUUUCUAUAAGACCUGUUGGUCUGCAUAGUUGUACUAAAGCUUAUAACAGAUUAUGUGGAACUAGCAAGCAAGGUAGGUUGCAUGUCUUGAGAUGUGAUAAUACACUGACUGCUUCGCAUAUAACUGAUAGACAUUUCUUUCUCAAUCAAUUCAUCUGCAUCAACCUUCGAUAUGAUGGAUACUAUUGCAAGAACAACAUUUGGGCCAUUGACCUUGUUAGUUCAACAUUAUUUGCUAGAGGCCUAUCAAUACUGUCAAAAUCAGCAUCGGAAAACCUUUUCAACAGCACAACAUAGACUUAGAUCCAACUGCUUAGCUUUAGAUAUCUGGUCGGUGGAAGCUAUAGAAAAUAAAAGAGGGGAGAAAGAAGAGGAAAAAUUCAGCUUGUUGUAUGAAAUUCUGCAAUUUUGUUCAUUAAGACAUGUAUGUUUCUCUUUAAGUGUAAUGUUACUUGUACUGAAAAUGGAUUUAUUUUUGCAUAAUGCAAUCCUAGUUGAGUCUAAAAUUAUCACACAUCAUGUCCAUGCUAGUCAAGACUAGUUAGUAUGCAUGCUGAAAAGAUAUGCAGCAAUGCUGUAAGAUAAACAAUCUACACCACCACAAUGCACUGGUUGAACUGGCUUUCCCCCCUUCCCAUCUAGGUUAUUUUAAAUUAUUCUUGUUGGGCACUAGACGUGUUAUGAAAAAAAAAUGCAUCAUUUAAUCCAACUAAUUUGACACCCCAGGCCAUGCUAGGGAUAUGUGCUACUUGUUGCUAGUUAUCUUAGCUAUAUAAAAUUUUCAUUUAUAAAGAUAGAUCAAAUUGAAUAAUAUGAAGUGUCAUCAUUAUGGAGAAAACAAAAUAAAUGAUUAGAAUAAACUACAGUAUAUUGUAGAGGUUUAAAAUAAAUAGCAAAGACAAUAUUCAAACUAACCCCCUCCCCCCCCCCCCCCACCCAACAAAACAAAAGAAAAAAGAAAAAAAGGUAGGAUAAAUGCAUGCACUAAAAUACUUGCCAAUUUGCAUUUGCAUGUAAUAUUGUGUAUCGCUGUACAUUUUGUUUUUGGUUAGUACAAAUCACAAACAUUGUGUCAUGCCAAUGGUUGUGAUAUGAAUUGCAUAUUACAUCAUGUUUUGAUCUGGAUUAGCCAAUUAAUUCAAUGCAAAACUCCUACAUGGAAGUGUUUCCUUGCGCUUGUAAAUCAGAUUAAAGUUCUUUAGACUUGUCUUCAAGAUGCAUUUCUUUUUGUGGAAGUGCUUCUUGUUAAGAGCAAAACAGUGUGGAAUCAUGUGUAUUAACUCUACCGUGUUUGCAAACAGAACAUGACCAUCCAGGCCAUGCUAGGGAUAUGUGCUACUUGUUGCUAAAUUUUCUUAGAUAUAUAAAAUUUUCAUUUAUAAAGAUAGAACAAAUUGAAUAAUAUGAAGUGUCAUCAUUAUGGAGAAAACAAAAUAAAUGAUUAGAAUAAACUACAGUAUAUUGUAGAGGUUUAGAAUAAAUAGCAAAGACAAUAUUCAAACUAACCCCCCUCCCGCCCCCCAACAAAAACCAAAGGUAGGAUAAAUGCAUGCACUAAAAUACUUGCCAAAUUGCAUUUGCAUGUAAUAUUGUGUAUCGCUGUACAUUUUGUUUUUGGUUAGCACAAAUCACAAACAUUGUGUCUUGCCAAUGGUUGUGAUAUGAAUUGCAUAUUACAUCAUGUUUUGAUCUGCAUUAGCCAAUGAAUUCAAUGCAAAACUCCUAAAUGGAAGUGUUUCCUUGCGCUUGUAAAUCAGAUUAAAGUUCUUUAGACUUGUCUUCAAGAUGCAUUUCUUUUUGUGGAAGUGCUUCUUGUUAAGAGCAAAACAGUUGAAUCAUGUGUAUUAACUCUACCGUGUUUGCAAACAGAACAUGACCAUCCAUCCCCAGCUCCUGCUUUCAAUUAUUUACUUGUUGUGACAUGUUAAAGCUGCUAUGUAACUCCAGUUGGUAAACUAUCUUUUUUGCUGCUUUGGCACGGAAACAUUCAAUGACACUAAUGUUAGUUUAUUAUAUUCUAGUAAUUUGUUGUAAUCAAGAUCCCAUUUUCUUACUUCAUGGAUCUUUUUCAAACUCUUGCUUUGGAAUCCUUUGACACAAAAGUUCCAGAAUACAUUCCGAUAAAAAUGGAAUGACUGCCAAAACACAAGCAGUUCAGACCUUUUCCUUGACAGAUGGAUAUACCAUAUCACCAUCUCCUUUGCUGCUUUUGAUGGCCAUAGUCAUGAUCAAGAGACCAUAUUCUGUCCAGUUGGGCAAGUUUUGCAUAUCCUCAAUCCCUAAAGUGAAAUCUCCCUUCUUUACACCGCCGGAAAAAAAAAGCACGAAAGUGAGAUCCAGAGAUUAAAGAGGUGUUGGAGAAGUGGUGUGAUUGGUCAAUCCAAACUCACAUUAUCCCCUCCCCAGUCUGAUCCGAGGCUGGCUUCCAACCAUCACCAUCUCUUCUUCUCCUCAUUGUCAAUCUUUGGUCUUAGCCCAAAGGAGUAACGGGCGCUUAUCGCCAUGAGGGCCACCGCCUACCAACCUCUCAUCACCGCUCCGGCCAACCUGAGGCACGGGAGGAGGCCGGCGUCCUCUCGAUGGCUCCCCUCGGUAUCCCCCAGGAGGAGGGCCGCGGUCGUCAGAGCGGCCGUCGCCGUGGAGGAGGAGGCUAAGACCAAGGUCUCCCUCGUCAGGAUUGGCACCAGAGGGGUAAUUACAUUUUAUUUUCUUGUGUCAUAAUGUAUUUCAAUUCCUUAGUUGGGUUUUAUUUAUUCUUAACUGGAUCUUGACAUGUGCAAUGAAUGUGCCUAUGGACUGCUAUUUACCAUGGAAACAUGGGAUUUAAGGAGGGGAAGGGUGCAGAUAAAGUGUAUCAUUAACAAUUAUUGUCAGUUAUCUAGUAAAGGAUCCUGACAACCUGAACCAACUGUAGCUUUAACAAUUUUCUGCUCAGCCUAUUCUUAUCAGCUGUAUGUUUUCUCUUGAUCUGGCUAGAAAAGUACACAAAACUUUGGCCAUUGAAAUUUUAUCAUUGUAGUCUUGCUCAAUCCACUAGACUGCAAUCUGAGCAAGCCAAAGG
RNAcentral lists this long non-coding RNA (7494 nucleotides) under Phoenix dactylifera (date palm). Its description in RNAcentral is "long non-coding RNA (PDAC_LNC006548)". Lineage: Eukaryota; Viridiplantae; Streptophyta; Magnoliopsida; Arecales; Arecaceae. The record is from RNAcentral.